GCAAUUCAAUAUAAUUUGAUUAGUGGUUAGAAGUCUUUAUAUUUUUUAUAAUUUUGAUUAAAAAAUCAUUUAUUGGGUUAUUGUAUUAGUUAAAAAUUUAAUUGAUUGAUAAGGUUAGUACUGUAAAGGAAUUAUUAUUGAUUUAUUAUGGGACAAGUUGUAUUGAUUUUACGUACCUUGUGUAUCAGGGCUUAUUAAAUAGUAUAUAUUUAUUUAUUAUUCUCGAUUUUUUUGGAGUUAAUAAUUUAUAUUCAUUAUUGUAUCACAAUUAUGGGAAAUAAAUUGUUAGUGGUGAAAUGUCAUUCGUCGAGAAGGGUAUCUAGUUUCUUGGGAAAUUAAUUUAAUUAAGAUUUUCUUUCUAAUUCUUUUAAUUAAUAGGGCACUUUAAGGGAAAAUUAAUAGUAAAAGGGAUGAGCUUUUUAUUAAAGAUUUAAAAGGUAAAAUGAUCAAUAUGUUUUAUGGGUUUAGAAUUGACUAAUAAUUGAAGUAUGUUAAAAUUUUAUGUAAUGAUAAAUUUGAUUUAUUAGCCUUUAAUAUUUUACUAGGAUAUAUUAACAAUUUUUGGAAUAGUAUUCAUAAUGAUAAGAUUAGUAAAGUGUAAUUAAGGAAUAUGUAUGUAUUGGUGAAUUGAGGUGAGGAAUUCAGCAAUAGCUUAUUCGCCUGUUUAACAAAAACAUCUCUUCUUGAAUUAAUUAGGAAGUAUGACCUGCCCAAUGAGUAGCAUUAAAUGGCCGCGGUACCUUGACCGUGCAAAGGUAGCAUAAUCAUUAGUCUUUUAAUUGAAGGCUGGAAUGAAUGGUUGGACGAGAUAAGAACUCUCUUAUUUUUAGUAUAUUGAAUUUAAUUAUUGAGUUAAAAAGCUUAAAUUUUUUUAUGGGACGAGAAGACCCUAUAGAGUUUAAUAAUUAUAAGCUAGUACAGAUGGGUGAUAGGAUUACUGGUUAAUAAUUAUUUUGUUGGGGUGAUGGAAAGAUAAGUGUAACUCUUUUUCUAUUAUAAAUAUUGAUCUAUAAGUUUCUGAUCCAUUAUUAGUGAUUAAAAGACUAAAUUACCUUAGGGAUAACAGCGUAAUCUUUUCUGAGAGUUCUAAUCGAAGUUGGGGAUUGCGACCUCGAUGUUGGAUUAAGGAUCAGACUUAGGUGUAGUAGCUUGAGAUCUGGGUCUGUUCGACCUUUAAAUUCUUACAUGAUCUGAGUUCAAACCGGCGUGAGCCAGGUUGGUUUCUAUCUAUUAGCAUCAAAAUAUUUUAGUACGAAAGGACCAGAUAUUUAAAAUAAUUUUUAACUUAGAAUUCCAUUAAUGGCUAUUUUGGCAGAUAAGUGUAAUGGAUUUAGAAUCUAUAAAUGUAUAUUGUUAAUACAU
This 1362-nucleotide ribosomal RNA is filed under the name Elliptorhina javanica. RNAcentral's name for it is "16S ribosomal RNA". The stretch from base 874 to 1231 matches the Rfam family "Bacterial large subunit ribosomal RNA", at positions 2075 to 2645 of the family's 2925-position model. Lineage: Eukaryota; Metazoa; Arthropoda; Insecta; Blattodea; Blaberidae. The record is from RNAcentral.